Molecule: long non-coding RNA, 232 nt
Filed under: Carassius auratus (goldfish)
Lineage: Eukaryota; Metazoa; Chordata; Actinopteri; Cypriniformes; Cyprinidae
Description: lncRNA (ENSCARG00000032556.1)
Source: RNAcentral
CCAUAGACAGAUGGUUUCUGCACAAUGGAGCAGCUCCUGGGUCAGCAUAACAGUGCCACAGUGCAGAGAGAUCUACUUCUGAAGGCCAAGAUGGAUGGUUUCUCAGACUGACAGGAUGGCCAGGUUCUGGACAUCUCAGAGGGAGAAGCUCGGACACUCAGGCUCAACCAGAACAUCAGACCUUUGGUUAAACAGGAGCGUGACUUGGAUUUUAAGGAUCAUGCUAUCAUGA